GAGAUAAAGUACAUAGAGAAGAGGGAGGGAGAUGCACACACACACACACACACACAUUAAGAGUUUAGUCACUAAUUAUCUUAAAUCCAAACCAAUUCAGGAAGACUAAGGUACCACUUAGGAACUACUGUGUUGCAUAUGUCCUCCAAUAAAAACACACAACAGAUAUCUCAGCAAAGGAAUCUAGCAUAUUUGUCCAACUCCAUGGGAAAUUCCCCAGUCUCUUACUAAUACAGAUAGUUUAAGUGAGAAGAGAUAAAGGCUUGACCUAGGGAGGUGGCUCUGGGAGUGUGAAGCAAGCUUGUGGAGAUAAAAAUAGAUAAGAUCCGGAGACUUCCUGGUUAUGAGGAAGUAAAGUCAUAACUAGAAUAUGAGGAAGUAAUAAGUCAUAAAUGGGAACUAGAAUAUGAGGAAGUAAUAAGUCAUAAAUGGGAUAUGGAGAAGUAAUAAAUGGGAAUUUUUGUGCCUAGAACAAAUUCAGUUGCGGUAUAGAGCCAGUGGCAUGUGGGACAUUUGGAUAAUUGGAUUGCUUUGUCAGGAAACAGAGUGGCCCAUCCUCCCAGAGAAUCUGACGGUAAUAGUAGUAGUAGUUGUCUCUUGGUAACCGAGGAUGAUGAUUGUCUUUGUGCGUUUUCAUCUGUGAUGUAGAUGAGUGUGCACAGACACUUGUGCGUGAAGGAGAUUUAAGUGGAAAAGUCGAUGCACAGAGACAGUCCCACUCUCUCGGCGUUGGAAGCCUGGGUCCAAUGGCACAAACGGUCGUUACACCUGGAGACUUCCUCAGCUGCAUUGGAUGGCCGUGUUGUCUUUUGUGCUCCAACACGCCCUAAGCACUCCACAGUGCUUUGCUGCGUCACCAUCUCAGCCGUUGAACCUUCUUAUUGGUUUCUUCUGUCUGUUCAGCCGAAGCAGUCUUCACAUGCUGGGGACCAGGAGGUCUUUUUACCAUUGAGAUGUGCGGAGAUAGACCAGCUCACAUCAAAAGGAAGUAGAAACCAGAGAGACAGGAAGUAAUGAGGGAAAAAGGCUUAUAAAAGGUGAGACUGAAGAGCUGAGCAUUUCAUUCACAUUGGAUUUGUUCUGGGUUGUAUACUUCUACAUAGGGGGGAUUCUGCUGUGUUGGCGACUCUGCGCUGGUGACUCUUGCUAAAAGAGUGAUUCUGCAUUGGUGGCUCAAGGAAUUUGGUGACUCACUUGGGCUGAGGAGACCCUGACUCUUUGGCUCUUCUCCUGUCUUUGGUGGGAUACUCUCUUUGGUCUGGAAGCACUCAGAUCCAGACUUAGAGUAUUUAUCUAGGCAAUAUUUUCUACUUCCUUCCUACAUUUCCCCCUUUACUAUCUCUACCUUGCUGUAAUAAAGCUGCUAAAGCUACCA
Molecule: long non-coding RNA, 1375 nt
Filed under: Monodelphis domestica (gray short-tailed opossum)
Lineage: Eukaryota; Metazoa; Chordata; Mammalia; Didelphimorphia; Didelphidae
Description: lncRNA (ENSMODG00000045997.1)
Source: RNAcentral